Molecule: transfer RNA, 72 nt
Filed under: Camelus bactrianus (Bactrian camel)
Lineage: Eukaryota; Metazoa; Chordata; Mammalia; Artiodactyla; Camelidae
Also listed under: 2 other names
Rfam family: tRNA
About the family: Transfer RNA (tRNA) molecules are approximately 80 nucleotides in length.
Source: Rfam by way of RNAcentral
GAGGGUAUAGCUCAGUGGGAGAAUGUGUGCUUAGCAUGCACGAGGUCCUGGGCUCAAUCUCCAGUACUUCCA